This 429-nucleotide ribosomal RNA is filed under the name uncultured bacterium. Its description in RNAcentral is "bacterial SSU rRNA". It matches the Rfam family "Bacterial small subunit ribosomal RNA", at positions 917 to 1341 of the family's 1533-position model. The record is from RNAcentral.
GGGCCCGCACAAGCGGUGGAGUAUGUGGUUUAAUUCGACGCAACGCGCAGAACCUUACCCGGCCUUGACAUCCUUGGAAUCCUUCCGAAAAGAAGGAGUGUCCCCUCACGGGGAAGCCAAGUGACAGGUGCUGCAUGGCUGUCGUCAGCUCGUGUCGUGAGAUGUUCGGUUAAGUCCGGCAACGAGCGCAACCCCUGUCGUUAGUUGCCAUCAAUUCGGUUGGGCACUCUAGCGAGACUCCCGGUGUUAAGCCGGCGGAAGAUGGGGAUGACGUCAAGUCCUCAUGGCCCUUAUGGUCGGGGCUACACACGUACUACAAUGGCGACUACAGAGGGUAGCAAUAUCGCGAGAUGGAGCCAAUCCCAAAAAGUCGCCUCAGUUCAGAUUGGAGUCUGCAACUCGACUCCAUGAAGUCGGAAUCGCUAGUAA